AUAAUGGGUCAGCGACUUAUAUUCUGUAGCAAGGUUAACCGAAUAGGGGAGCCGAAGGGAAACCGAGUCUUAACUGGGCGUUAAGUUGCAGGGUAUAGACCCGAAACCCGGUGAUCUAGCCAUGGGCAGGUUGAAGGUUGGGUAACACUAACUGGAGGACCGAACCGACUAAUGUUGAAAAAUUAGCGGAUGACUUGUGGCUGGGGGUGAAAGGCCAAUCAAACCGGGAGAUAGCUGGUUCUCCCCGAAAGCUAUUUAGGUAGCGCCUCGUGAAUUCAUCUCCGGGGGUAGAGCACUGUUUCGGCAAGGGGGUCAUCCCGACUUACCAACCCGAUGCAAACUGCGAAUACCGGAGAAUGUUAUCACGGGAGACACACGGCGGGUGCUAACGUCCGUCGUGAAGAGGGAAACAACCCAGACCGCCAGCUAAGGUCCCAAAGUCAUGGUUAAGUGGGAAACGAUGUGGGAAGGCCCAGACAGCCAGGAUGUUGGCUUAGAAGCAGCCAUCAUUUAAAGAAAGCGUAAUAGCUCACUGGUCGAGUCGGCCUGCGCGGAAGAUGUAACGGGGCUAAACCAUGCACCGAAGCUGCGGCAGCGACGCUGAUGCGUUGUUGGGUAGGGGAGCGUUCUGUAAGCCUGCGAAGGUGUGCUGUGAGGCAUGCUGGAGGUAUCAGAAGUGCGAAUGCUGACAUAAGUAACGAUAAAGCGGGUGAAAAGCCCGCUCGCCGGAAGACCAAGGGUUCCUGUCCAACGUUAAUCGGGGCAGGGUGAGUCGACCCCUAAGGCGAGGCCGAAAGGCGUAGUCGAUGGGAAACAGGUUAAUAUUCCUGUACUUGGUGUUACUGCGAAGGGGGGACGGAGAAGGCUAUGUUGGCCGGGCGACGGUUGUCCCGGUUUAAGCGUGUAGGCUGGUUUUCCAGGCAAAUCCGGAAAAUCAAGGCUGAGGCGUGAUGACGAGGCACUACGGUGCUGAAGCAACAAAUGCCCUGCUUCCAGGAAAAGCCUCUAAGCAUCAGGUAACAUCAAAUCGUACCCCAAACCGACACAGGUGGUCAGGUAGAGAAUACCAAGGCGCUUGAGAGAACUCGGGUGAAGGAACUAGGCAAAAUGGUGCCGUAACUUCGGGAGAAGGCACGCUGAUAUGUAGGUGAAGUCCCUCGCGGAUGGAGCUGAAAUCAGUCGAAGAUACCAGCUGGCUGCAACUGUUUAUUAAAAACACAGCACUGUGCAAACACGAAAGUGGACGUAUACGGUGUGACGCCUGCCCGGUGCCGGAAGGUUAAUUGAUGGGGUUAGCGCAAGCGAAGCUCUUGAUCGAAGCCCCGGUAAACGGCGGCCGUAACUAUAACGGUCCUAAGGUAGCGAAAUUCCUUGUCGGGUAAGUUCCGACCUGCACGAAUGGCGUAAUGAUGGCCAGGCUGUCUCCACCCGAGACUCAGUGAAAUUGAACUCGCUGUGAAGAUGCAGUGUACCCGCGGCAAGACGGAAAGACCCCGUGAACCUUUACUAUAGCUUGACACUGAACAUUGAGCCUUGAUGUGUAGGAUAGGUGGGAGGCUUUGAAGUGUGGACGCCAGUCUGCAUGGAGCCGACCUUGAAAUACCACCCUUUAAUGUUUGAUGUUCUAACGUGGACCCGUAAUCCGGGUUGCGGACAGUGUCUGGUGGGUAGUUUGACUGGGGCGGUCUCCUCCUAAAGAGUAACGGAGGAGCACGAAGGUUGGCUAAUCCUGGUCGGACAUCAGGAGGUUAGUGCAAUGGCAUAAGCCAGCUUGACUGCGAGCGUGACGGCGCGAGCAGGUGCGAAAGCAGGUCAUAGUGAUCCGGUGGUUCUGAAUGGAAGGGCCAUCGCUCAACGGAUAAAAGGUACUCCGGGGAUAACAGGCUGAUACCGCCCAAGAGUUCAUAUCGACGGCGGUGUUUGGCACCUCGAUGUCGGCUCAUCACAUCCUGGGGCUGAAGUAGGUCCCAAGGGUAUGGCUGUUCGCCAUUUAAAGUGGUACGCGAGCUGGGUUUAGAACGUCGUGAGACAGUUCGGUCCCUA
RNAcentral lists this ribosomal RNA (2043 nucleotides) under Escherichia coli. RNAcentral describes it as "partial 23S ribosomal RNA". It matches the Rfam family "Bacterial large subunit ribosomal RNA", at positions 612 to 2640 of the family's 2925-position model. Lineage: Bacteria; Pseudomonadati; Pseudomonadota; Gammaproteobacteria; Enterobacterales; Enterobacteriaceae. The record is from RNAcentral.